UGGACAGACGGGGAAUUGAACCCCGGACCUCUCCCAUGCUCAUCCACCUGUUGCUAGGUGAAAAGAUGCUAAGGGAAAAUCAUACCACUAGACCACCCGCCC
Non-coding RNA from Cladobotryum mycophilum, 102 nucleotides. Lineage: Eukaryota; Fungi; Ascomycota; Sordariomycetes; Hypocreales; Hypocreaceae. The record is from the annotation of a GenBank genome assembly.